This 118-nucleotide ribosomal RNA is filed under the name Pteropus vampyrus (large flying fox). The record is from RNAcentral. Lineage: Eukaryota; Metazoa; Chordata; Mammalia; Chiroptera; Pteropodidae.
GUCUACAGCCAUGCCACUCUGACUACACUUGAUUCCAUCUGAUCUUGGAAGCUCAGCAGGUCGAGCCUGAUUAGUAUUUGCAUGAGAGACCACCUAGGAAGACUAGGUGCUGUAGGCA